This 339-nucleotide unclassified non-coding RNA is filed under the name soil metagenome. RNAcentral's name for it is "partial contains 5.8S ribosomal RNA, internal transcribed spacer 2, and large subunit ribosomal RNA". The stretch from base 1 to 121 matches the Rfam family "5.8S ribosomal RNA", at positions 35 to 154 of the family's 154-position model. The record is from RNAcentral.
GAUGAAGAACGCAGCGAAAUGCGAUAAGUAAUGCGAAUUGCAGAAUUCCAGUGAGUCAUCGAAUCUUUGAACGCACAUUGCGCCCGGUAGUAUUCUGCCGGGCAUGCCUGUUCGAGCGUCAUUUCAACCAUCAAGCCCCAGCGCUUGUGUUGGGGGCCUGCGGCUGCCGCAGCCCCCUAAAAGCAGUGGCGGGCUCGCUAUCACACCGAGUGCAGUAGUUCAUCUUCUCUCCGGUCUUGUGAGGCGGGUUCCGGCCGUGAAACACCCCACUACAUUCAAGGUUGACCUCGGAUCAGGUAGGAAUACCCGCUGAACUUAAGCAUAUCAAUAAGCGGAGGA